GGUUAAGCGACUAAGCGUACACGGUGGAUGCCCUGGCAGUCAGAGGCGAUGAAGGACGUGCUAAUCUGCGAUAAGCGUCGGUAAGGUGAUAUGAACCGUUAUAACCGGCGAUUUCCGAAUGGGGAAACCCAGUGUGUUUCGACACACUAUCAUUAACUGAAUCCAUAGGUUAAUGAGGCGAACCGGGGGAACUGAAACAUCUAAGUACCCCGAGGAAAAGAAAUCAACCGAGAUUCCCCCAGUAGCGGCGAGCGAACGGGGAGCAGCCCAGAGCCUGAAUCAGUGUGUGUGUUAGUGGAAGCGUCUGGAAAGGCGCGCGAUACAGGGUGACAGCCCCGUACACAAAAAUGCACAUGCUGUGAGCUCGAUGAGUAGGGCGGGACACGUGGUAUCCUGUCUGAAUAUGGGGGGACCAUCCUCCAAGGCUAAAUACUCCUGACUGACCGAUAGUGAACCAGUACCGUGAGGGAAAGGCGAAAAGAACCCCGGCGAGGGGAGUGAAAAAGAACCUGAAACCGUGUACGUACAAGCAGUGGGAGCACGCUUAGGCGUGUGACUGCGUACCUUUUGUAUAAUGGGUCAGCGACUUAUAUUCUGUAGCAAGGUUAACCGAAUAGGGGAGCCGAAGGGAAACCGAGUCUUAACUGGGCGUUAAGUUGCAGGGUAUAGACCCGAAACCCGGUGAUCUAGCCAUGGGCAGGUUGAAGGUUGGGUAACACUAACUGGAGGACCGAACCGACUAAUGUUGAAAAAUUAGCGGAUGACUUGUGGCUGGGGGUGAAAGGCCAAUCAAACCGGGAGAUAGCUGGUUCUCCCCGAAAGCUAUUUAGGUAGCGCCUCGUGAAUUCAUCUCCGGGGGUAGAGCACUGUUUCGGCAAGGGGGUCAUCCCGACUUACCAACCCGAUGCAAACUGCGAAUACCGGAGAAUGUUAUCACGGGAGACACACGGCGGGUGCUAACGUCCGUCGUGAAGAGGGAAACAACCCAGACCGCCAGCUAAGGUCCCAAAGUCAUGGUUAAGUGGGAAACGAUGUGGGAAGGCCCAGACAGCCAGGAUGUUGGCUUAGAAGCAGCCAUCAUUUAAAGAAAGCGUAAUAGCUCACUGGUCGAGUCGGCCUGCGCGGAAGAUGUAACGGGGCUAAACCAUGCACCGAAGCUGCGGCAGCGACACUAUGUGUUGUUGGGUAGGGGAGCGUUCUGUAAGCCUGUGAAGGUGUGCUGUGAGGCAUGCUGGAGGUAUCAGAAGUGCGAAUGCUGACAUAAGUAACGAUAAAGCGGGUGAAAAGCCCGCUCGCCGGAAGACCAAGGGUUCCUGUCCAACGUUAAUCGGGGCAGGGUGAGUCGACCCCUAAGGCGAGGCCGAAAGGCGUAGUCGAUGGGAAACAGGUUAAUAUUCCUGUACUUGGUGUUACUGCGAAGGGGGGACGGAGAAGGCUAUGUUGGCCGGGCGACGGUUGUCCCGGUUUAAGCGUGUAGGCUGGUUUUCCAGGCAAAUCCGGAAAAUCAAGGCUGAGGCGUGAUGACGAGGCACUACGGUGCUGAAGCAACAAAUGCCCUGCUUCCAGGAAAAGCCUCUAAGCAUCAGGUAACAUCAAAUCGUACCCCAAACCGACACAGGUGGUCAGGUAGAGAAUACCAAGGCGCUUGAGAGAACUCGGGUGAAGGAACUAGGCAAAAUGGUGCCGUAACUUCGGGAGAAGGCACGCUGAUAUGUAGGUGAAGUCCCUCGCGGAUGGAGCUGAAAUCAGUCGAAGAUACCAGCUGGCUGCAACUGUUUAUUAAAAACACAGCACUGUGCAAACACGAAAGUGGACGUAUACGGUGUGACGCCUGCCCGGUGCCGGAAGGUUAAUUGAUGGGGUUAGCGCAAGCGAAGCUCUUGAUCGAAGCCCCGGUAAACGGCGGCCGUAACUAUAACGGUCCUAAGGUAGCGAAAUUCCUUGUCGGGUAAGUUCCGACCUGCACGAAUGGCGUAAUGAUGGCCAGGCUGUCUCCACCCGAGACUCAGUGAAAUUGAACUCGCUGUGAAGAUGCAGUGUACCCGCGGCAAGACGGAAAGACCCCGUGAACCUUUACUAUAGCUUGACACUGAACAUUGAGCCUUGAUGUGUAGGAUAGGUGGGAGGCUUUGAAGUGUGGACGCCAGUCUGCAUGGAGCCGACCUUGAAAUACCACCCUUUAAUGUUUGAUGUUCUAACGUUGACCCGUAAUCCGGGUUGCGGACAGUGUCUGGUGGGUAGUUUGACUGGGGCGGUCUCCUCCUAAAGAGUAACGGAGGAGCACGAAGGUUGGCUAAUCCUGGUCGGACAUCAGGAGGUUAGUGCAAUGGCAUAAGCCAGCUUGACUGCGAGCGUGACGGCGCGAGCAGGUGCGAAAGCAGGUCAUAGUGAUCCGGUGGUUCUGAAUGGAAGGGCCAUCGCUCAACGGAUAAAAGGUACUCCGGGGAUAACAGGCUGAUACCGCCCAAGAGUUCAUAUCGACGGCGGUGUUUGGCACCUCGAUGUCGGCUCAUCACAUCCUGGGGCUGAAGUAGGUCCCAAGGGUAUGGCUGUUCGCCAUUUAAAGUGGUACGCGAGCUGGGUUUAGAACGUCGUGAGACAGUUCGGUCCCUAUCUGCCGUGGGCGCUGGAGAAUUGAGGGGGGCUGCUCCUAGUACGAGAGGACCGGAGUGGACGCAUCACUGGUGUUCGGGUUGUCAUGCCAAUGGCACUGCCCGGUAGCUAAAUGCGGAAGAGAUAAGUGCUGAAAGCAUCUAAGCACGAAACUUGCCCCGAGAUGAGUUCUCCCUGACUCCUUGAGAGUCCUGAAGGAACGUUGAAGACGACGACGUUGAUAGGCCGGGUGUGUAAGCGCAGCGAUGCGUUGAGCUAACCGGUACUAAUGAACCGUGAGGCUUAACCUU
RNAcentral lists this ribosomal RNA (2903 nucleotides) under Escherichia coli. Its description in RNAcentral is "23S ribosomal RNA". It matches the Rfam family "Bacterial large subunit ribosomal RNA". Lineage: Bacteria; Pseudomonadati; Pseudomonadota; Gammaproteobacteria; Enterobacterales; Enterobacteriaceae. The record is from RNAcentral.